UACGUAGGGUGCAAGCGUUGUCCGGAAUUAUUGGGCGUAAAGAGCUCGUAGGCGGUUCGUCGCGUCGGCUGUGAAAACCCGGAGCUCAACUCCGGGCCUGCAGUCGAUACGGGCGGACUUGAGUGUUGCAGGGGAGACUGGAAUUCCUGGUGUAGCGGUGAAGUGCGCAGAUAUCAGGAGGAACACCGGUGGCGAAGGCGGGUCUCUGGGCAACUACUGACGCUGAGGAGCGAAAGCGUGGGGAGCGAACAGG
Molecule: ribosomal RNA, 253 nt
Filed under: uncultured bacterium
Lineage: Bacteria
Description: partial 16S ribosomal RNA
Rfam family: Bacterial small subunit ribosomal RNA
Source: RNAcentral